GACGAACGCUGGCGGCGUGCCUAAUACAUGCAAGUUGAGCGAUGAAGAUUGGUGCUUGCACCAAUUUGAAGAGCAGCGAACGGGUGAGUAACGCGUGGGGAAUCUGCCUUUGAGCGGGGGACAACAUUUGGAAACGAAUGCUAAUACCGCAUAAUAACUUUAAACAUAAGUUUUAAGUUUGAAAGAUGCAAUUGCAUCACUCAAAGAUGAUCCCGCGUUGUAUUAGCUAGUUGGUGAGGUAAAGGCUCACCAAGGCGAUGAUACAUAGCCGACCUGAGAGGGUGAUCGGCCACAUUGGGACUGAGACACGGCCCAAACUCCUACGGGAGGCAGCAGUAGGGAAUCUUCGGCAAUGGACGAAAGUCUGACCGAGCAACGCCGCGUGAGUGAAGAAGGUCUUCGGAUCGUAAAACUCUGUUGGUAGAGAAGAACGUUGGUGAGAGUGGAAAGCUCAUCAAGUGACGGUAACUACCCAGAAAGGGACGGCUAACUACGUG
Molecule: ribosomal RNA, 497 nt
Filed under: uncultured bacterium
Lineage: Bacteria
Description: partial 16S ribosomal RNA
Rfam family: Bacterial small subunit ribosomal RNA
Source: RNAcentral